RNAcentral lists this ribosomal RNA (402 nucleotides) under uncultured Altererythrobacter sp. RNAcentral describes it as "bacterial SSU rRNA". It matches the Rfam family "Bacterial small subunit ribosomal RNA", at positions 355 to 774 of the family's 1533-position model. Lineage: Bacteria; Pseudomonadati; Pseudomonadota; Alphaproteobacteria; Sphingomonadales; Erythrobacteraceae. The record is from RNAcentral.
UGGGGAAUAUUGGACAAUGGGCGAAAGCCUGAUCCAGCAAUGCCGCGUGAGUGAUGAAGGCCUUAGGGUUGUAAAGCUCUUUUACCCGGGAUGAUAAUGACAGUACCGGGAGAAUAAGCUCCGGCUAACUCCGUGCCAGCAGCCGCGGUAAUACGGAGGGAGCUAGCGUUGUUCGGAAUUACUGGGCGUAAAGCGCACGUAGGCGGCUCAGCAAGUCAGGGGUGAAAUCCCGGGGCUCAACCCCGGAACUGCCCUUGAAACUGCUAGGCUAGAAUCUUGGAGAGGCGAGUGGAAUUCCGAGUGUAGAGGUGAAAUUCGUAGAUAUUCGGAAGAACACCAGUGGCGAAGGCGACUCGCUGGACAAGUAUUGACGCUGAGGUGCGAAAGCGUGGGGAGCAAACA